This 464-nucleotide ribosomal RNA is filed under the name uncultured bacterium. Its description in RNAcentral is "partial 16S ribosomal RNA". It matches the Rfam family "Bacterial small subunit ribosomal RNA", at positions 339 to 795 of the family's 1533-position model. The record is from RNAcentral.
CUACGGGAGGCUCCAGUGGGGAAUAUUGGACAAUGGGCGCAAGCCUGAUCCAGCAAUACCGCGUGUGUGAAGAAGGCCUGCGGGUUGUAAAGCACUUUCAAUUGGGAAGAAAAGCUUGGGGCUAAUAUCCUCGAGUCUUGACGUUACCUUUAGAAGAAGCACCGGCUAACUCCGUGCCAGCAGCCGCGGUAAUACGGAGGGUGCAAGCGUUAAUCGGAAUUACUGGGCGUAAAGCGCGCGUAGGCGGUUUGUUAAGUCAGAUGUGAAAGCCCUGGGCUCAACCUGGGAACUGCAUUUGAUACUGGCAGACUAGAAUCUGGUAGAGGGAAGUGGAAUUCCGGGUGUAGCGGUGAAAUGCGUAGAGAUCCGGAGGAACAUCAGUGGCGAAGGCGACUUCCUGGACCAAGAUUGACGCUGAGGUGCGAAAGCGUGGGUAGCAAACAGGAUUAGAUACCCGAGUAGUC